Molecule: transfer RNA, 73 nt
Filed under: Neotoma lepida (desert woodrat)
Lineage: Eukaryota; Metazoa; Chordata; Mammalia; Rodentia; Cricetidae
Rfam family: tRNA
About the family: Transfer RNA (tRNA) molecules are approximately 80 nucleotides in length.
Source: Rfam by way of RNAcentral
GCAGAGAUGGCUCAGUGGUUAAGAGCACUGGCUGCUCUUCCAGAGGACCUGGGUUCAAUUCCCAGCACCCGCA